RNAcentral lists this long non-coding RNA (1491 nucleotides) under Suricata suricatta (meerkat). Its description in RNAcentral is "lncRNA (ENSSSUG00005015881.1)". The record is from RNAcentral. Lineage: Eukaryota; Metazoa; Chordata; Mammalia; Carnivora; Herpestidae.
CUUCUCCGCCAAUCACCUGCUGCACUAAAAAAAAGUUCCAACAGUUAGAAAGACCAGUUUGUUAUAAGUUGAAAUCUUAAGUACAAAGAGUUUUAAGCAGAACAGGAGCCAAGCGUCUAUUUUGUCUUAAUGUUGAAUCAAGGGCCAAGUCUUUAUAAAUUUGUUGCGACUAAACCCCAGUCGUUACGGGCACUAACCAGUUAGGUAGGUGCAUUUAAAUCUAUUAGCUGCAAUGCAAGUUCCAACCUCCAGAUGCCGCUGCCUGACAAUGCAGAAGAGGGAACUAGCUAGCAGGAAAGCAAAUGGCGGAUUCUGCGGAAUGCUUUUCGAACAGUAAGUAAGGCCCAGCAGACACUCCCAAUCCACACUCUCUCCCGGAACAAAGAUAUUCAAAAAGCGGGGCGCAGUGAGCUCUCUUCGCCUUGGGUACUUACAAUCCAGUGACGAUUUUAAACGCAGCUUCUCCGGACGGGAGCGAGCGGAAAAGGAAGCCACUCCUAGCAAGACGGUCAGGCGCCGAGAGUCUCCUUCUUUAUUCCUUUGUUCUUCCCGGGUUUUAGGAAAGUGAUCCGCUACAGAUUAACGAAACGGCAGAGGACAGGCAGCGCGAAAUCUCGCCGACAACCGCAAGUCGCAGAGCCAAAGGCAGUAGCUCAGCAGGUCUGAUUCUGGAGCUGCAGACCUAGCGAAAAAGAAAGCGCUACGUCACCCCGCUGGGCUGGAGAAGCGGCUGUGAGUGACAGCACGACUCAAGCGGAAGCGCGCUCCGCCCCCGCCUGCGCAGGCGUAGGGGUGCAAUUACGCUAUCCGGCGAUUUGUCAUCCCGCGAGAAUUUGACCUAACGCGAUGAAAACGAUAAUGUCUCAUAGAGACCUAUUGCUUUGAAAAUAUUUAGAGGCAAGGCUUGCUGGAAAGAGUUAGACCUUAUGUCUUCCUUUUCCGCUCCACGGAGCCAGUACUUUUACCGGUCGCCGUGGGGCCGGAUAGCUGAGUGAUUACCGGAGAUAGGGCGUCCGUGCGGAAAGCGUCUUUGCCUCUGGAAACCCCUUGGAUGCUUCCCACGCUUUGUCCUUAUCUUGGAAACUUCUCAAGUUUCUGGUCACAAGAAUUCUGCCAGCAGUAACCAGGGAACUUCCUUCCUUGUCCAGGGUAAGUUCAGAAAGUGGCUCCCCCUAACCAGAGUUUGUCUUCUAUCUGAUUCGACCAAUUUAGGCCAUUUACCUAUCCCUGGCUCAAUAACAGUCACCAGGGGAAUACCCUGAGCCUGUGAUUUUCAAUAUGGUGGGGAGGAGGUGACAUUGGUAAUGUCUGGAGACAUUUUUGGUUGUUACAACUGUGGGGGGGGGGGUCUACUGGCAUCUAUUGUGUAGAGACCAGGGAUGCUGCUAAACAUCCUACCAUAUGCAGAACAGCCUCUUCCCCACAGCAAAGAGUUAUGUGGAUCAAAAUAGUACCACAGCUGAGUAAGCUUAUUAAGUCUGUAUUCCUAAC